RNAcentral lists this long non-coding RNA (3325 nucleotides) under Sus scrofa (pig). RNAcentral's name for it is "lncRNA (ENSSSCG00050049986.1)". Lineage: Eukaryota; Metazoa; Chordata; Mammalia; Artiodactyla; Suidae. The record is from RNAcentral.
GAUGAACUGUGAACUUGGGGCAUCCGAGAGGCGCAGGCAUUUAGGAGUCCUGCAGCAAACCUGGACCCGAGUGUAAACACAGCUUCCAAAGCGAAAGCAGGGGCCUUGAGGAAAGGAGUUUUACCCUCAUCUCGCUCGCGACCAGCUUACUGUGCUGGAAAACAAAGUUCCAGUUUUUCUCUCAGAAGAUCCUGAGGCCUGCUUCUCUUCCUGGACUGUAUCUUUACCUGUGCUUCUCUCUCUUCCUCGUCUGUUCACCUGCUGACACCUGCUUAUUCCUACCUAGGAUUUGUCUCAGGUAUCACCUCCUCCAGGGAGCCUUCUGCGUUAUGUUAGAUAAUGUGAUGUAUGUGAUGUAAUUGAGAGAGGAGACUUUUUCUCUGUAUCACAGUGUCUGGCAUGUUACUGUCGCUUGCUACUCGUAGAAGGAAUAAAGAAGACAGGAUAAAACAGGCGAAGACCCAGAUCACUGAGUGUUCCUCUUGGGUGUGACGGAGCUGGGCCGAGAGUAAAGGCACGCAGCCGGACAGUGCAGGUGGAAAGGUGCUCCAUCACCUGUCACCUCUCAGGGCAGCCCCAGUCCCCUCUCCUCCUGCCCAGUCGGUCAUCUUUGAGCAUGCUUCAGCCACACCACUCUCACUCGAGGCGCUUCUGUGGAAGAGUUCCAGCUUCUUUACCCUGGCUGUCCGGACUCUGUCCACCUGGACCACACACCAUUUUUGACAUGUGCCCUAGCUAGCGUCCAUCGUCUAGGACUCAGGAAUUAUUUGUUGAUGGUCUUAACUACUAGGACUCAGGAAUUAUUUGCUGAUUUGCUUAACUACUUACUGACAGACAGUAUGGCAAAAGCGCAUCCUGAAGUGUCCAUUAAGACGUAUGCUAAACCAACUAUACUUUAGUUUUUUGAAAAGAGCAAGGAAGGAGAAAAGACGUGAGCUUCCGACCAUCUGUGGGUUUGAGGCGCAGUGCUGGCCGCAGUGCCCAUUAGAGAGCUCUGUGCCUGCACAGAGCUGACAGCCCAGCCGGGGAGGAGACGGAACAGUGCAGGCCACGCUAGGGAACCAGCAGCAGAAAUGACCGUGUCGCAAGGCAGUGUGUGGUUAAUGGCCAGACACACGGCUCAAGAAUGAAUCGUGUAGGUUCUCCACUCCAAAAGGACAGAAGCCAGCCUGGCCGCCUGUUGACCCACGUCACACAGCACAGGUACCCUGCCAGUCGCGCAGAACCCACCCCCCUGACUCCAAAGCUACAGAAAUACUGAAGAGAAUGUGCCGUUUGUCUCUGUAGCGCCCACAUUCCCUGAAAGACUCUCUCCUCCCCCCCUCCCUUCCUUGUCCAACUUUGUCCCUCCUUUGAGAGGCUCCUCUUCCUUUCAGAGCAGCCUAGAGACCCUGAGUACAGCCUGCUGACCCUGCAGGCAGCUUCUGCCAUGGAGUGGAGGGCGGUGCUCGUGCGCUUCUGUCCUGUGAGGGACGUGCACCGCCGCAGGGACCGUGUCUUUUCCCUCCAGCACCUGACGCUCUGCGACAUGGAGCACAUGUCCCUUAAGCGUUUGUCAUUGACCGAAAGGACUUAACACGUUAGAGGGGCUGAGUAACAUGGGUUGGCUUUAUAGGGUUAAGACAUGAAUGCUGUGAGUGCAGAAGAGGGUGACAAGCCAGAGUGGUCCAGGGAGACUCUGCAGAGCAAGCAGGGAAUAUUGGGCUGGGCCUGGGAGGCUUCGUACAUUUAAAAUGGGCGGAGAACCCCAGGUGGAGUAGCUCUGUGCCUGUGAUUGCUGCCAACCCAGCUGGUCUCUCGAAACAGGAAAACAGACCAGAGGGAGGGAGCCCUGCAGAGCCAGGCAGUGGGGGCAGCUUGUUUUAGUUGGAGCAGAGGGUUUGUCUAAAGGAAGGAGAGAGAAUGCCCUGGCAGAAGGAUGGACUUAGGAUGGAUUUAGGUGGUGGAAAGACCUCAAAUGCAGCGGGGUAUCUUGUCGGCAGCGGGCGCUGUGGAUUACUUUUGACAACCACAGUGACCUGAUGGAAGUGGUGUGGAAUGUGGGAGCUGCCCUGUGGCCCUGCCCUCAGUUUGCAUCACAGCCCAUGGUCCAGGUGGUCACCACGAUGCUUAGGACCCAGGUGUGAAGCCCCUCGACUGCACAGCGCUUCACCUUGCAGGGCUGGACCUGCCGUAAACAGCGGCUCUCCUUCCGGCAUUGCCCUUGACCUGGCUCUGAGCUGUUGAGGCUUUGGGUCCAUUCAGCUCUGUCCUGUCCCUCCACCCUCGUGACUGGCAAUGACCCGGAAGGGGGCAGCACCCCCGCAGCAGGUGGCCUCCAGAGCUGAGUCACUGCCCUGGGAAUGGUGCCCUGGUGAGGCUGGCUCAGGCAAAUGGGCGAGCUCUCCGCCCUGGCAGAGCCCAGAGCCCAGGAGAAAUAGAUUCCUUGUGCAUCUAGAGGCAUCACUGAGCUGAUAAGAAAGUGAAGUAAAGGCAGCUGGAGACCCAGAAGCAAACUGUCCCAAUGAUAGUUUCUAGCUGGGUCUUUGGCAGAGUCCAAAGCAUUUUUCUCACAAUUAAACGUACGGGCCGUGGUUGUUUUAUUUGAACACACCAAAAUUAUCCAUUUACGGAUACCCUUAAGAAUGGAAUGCAAAGGAGUUUAAGAUAAUGUCUUAAGAUUCUUUUUGACCUUGUAAAUUACAAGCGCUUAAGGAAUGAGCUUAAGGAUUAAAAUGAUCUGGAGAGUUAUUCUUGGAAAUUAAUAAAUGAAGUUUAGGUCUUUUUUUUUUUUAACACGUUUUCUUUAUCAUUCCUAAAUACUCUGAUGGAUGUUGUUUUUUGAAAAUGAUCCUGCUUUUAAUUCAUCACAGAGAAGAUAGAAAUAUAGUGUUGCUUUUGAAAGGAGGGUUUUUUGGGUGGUUUUUUUUCCCCUAAGUCUGGCUUGUUUACUACACCAAUGAAUAGAGAUGACCUCAGUCUGAAAAAACAAGCUAACCAUACUCUCUCUCCUUGCCUGGCAAAAAAGGCCUUUAUCAAGUAGCAAAAGACAGCAAGUCAGACCACCAAGUCAUCAUUUUAGCUGAUUAGAUUUUCCAAAAGACAGAACAGUAAGCUCUCCACGUUUUCACUGCUGAGCAGUGGCUCUUGGGAAAUACUCCCAACUCAGUUUCUGUAAAACCUUAAAAAGUCUGGUGACAGUUACUCAGACAGCUGCCCGAAUGCAGAUGCUACAGAUGUGGUUGCCCAUGCCCUCGCCCCUGUGAGAUUUCAGAAUGGGAGAAAAUAGCAUCACGUCUCUUGCUUUUUGAGUACGAAAUUUUUUAAUUAAAAAAGAAAAAAAAAA